Molecule: unclassified non-coding RNA, 223 nt
Filed under: uncultured bacterium
Lineage: Bacteria
Description: contains 16S-23S intergenic spacer region
Rfam family: Bacterial small subunit ribosomal RNA
Source: RNAcentral
UACCCUUGACAUGUCAGGAAGUCCGCUGAGAGGUGGAUGUGCCCGAAAGGGAACCUGAACACAGGUGCUGCAUGGCUGUCGUCAGCUCGUGUCGUGAGAUGUUGGGUUAAGUCCCGCAACGAGCGCAACCCUUGUCAUUAGUUGCUACAUUCAGUUGGGCACUCUAAUGAGACUGCCGGCGACAAACCGGAGGAAGGUGGGGAUGACGUAGGGAAUGUCGAUA